AGCAGCCGCGGUAAUUCCAGCUCCAAUAGCGUAUAUUAAAGUUGUUGCAGUUAAAAAGCUCGUAGUUGAAUUUCGAGACCGGUUUACUGGUCGUGCUUUUGUACGUACUGGUAUAAUCGGUUUCUCUCUUCUGACGAACUAUAAUGCCAUUAAUUUUGUGUUAUAGGGAAUCAGGACUGUUACUUUGAAAAAAUUAGAGUGUUUAAAGCAGGCUCACGCUUGAAUACAUUAGCAUGGAAUAACGGAAUAGGACGUUUGAUUCUAUUUUGUUGGUUUCUAGAAUCGACGUAAUGAUUAAUAGGGAUAGUUGGGGGCAUUAGUAUUCAAUUGUCAGAGGUGAAAUUCUUGGAUUUAUUGAAGACUAACUACUGCGAAAGCAUUUGCCAAGGAUGUUUUCAUUAAUCAAGAACGAAAGUUAGGGGAUCGAAGACGAUCAGAUACCGUCGUAGU
This 450-nucleotide ribosomal RNA is filed under the name uncultured Glomeromycotina. RNAcentral describes it as "SSU rRNA". It matches the Rfam family "Eukaryotic small subunit ribosomal RNA", at positions 569 to 1024 of the family's 1831-position model. The record is from RNAcentral. Lineage: Eukaryota; Fungi; Glomeromycota.